ACGUUAAUCGGGGCAGGGUGAGUCGACCCCUAAGGCGAGGCCGAAAGGCGUAGUCGAUGGGAAACGGGUUAAUAUUCCCGUACUUGGUGUUACUGCGAAGGGGGGACGGAGAAGGCUAUGUUGGCCGGGCGACGGUUGUCCCGGUUUAAGCGUGUAGGUGUGUGUUCCAGGUAAAUCCGGUUCACUUUAACACUGAGGCGUGACGACGAGGCACUACGGUGCUGAAGCAACAAAUGCCCUGCUUCCAGGAAAAGCCUCUAAGCAUCAGGUAACAUCAAAUCGUACCCCAAACCGACACAGGUGGUCAGGUAGAGAAUACCAAGGCGCUUGAGAGAACUCGGGUGAAGGAACUAGGCAAAAUGGUGCCGUAACUUCGGGAGAAGGCACGCUGACACGUAGGUGAAGUGAUUUACUCAUGGAGCUGAAGUCAGUCGAAGAUACCAGCUGGCUGCAACUGUUUAUUAAAAACACAGCACUGUGCAAACACGAAAGUGGACGUAUACGGUGUGACGCCUGCCCGGUGCCGGAAGGUUAAUUGAUGGGGUCAGCGCAAGCGAAGCUCCUGAUCGAAGCCCCGGUAAACGGCGGCCGUAACUAUAACGGUCCUAAGGUAGCGAAAUUCCUUGUCGGGUAAGUUCCGACCUGCACGAAUGGCGUAAUGAUGGCCAGGCUGUCUCCACCCGAGACUCAGUGAAAUUGAACUCGCUGUGAAGAUGCAGUGUACCCGCGGCAAGACGGAAAGACCCCGUGAACCUUUACUAUAGCUUGACACUGAACAUUGAGCCUUGAUGUGUAGGAUAGGUGGGAGGCUUUGAAGCGUGGACGCCAGUCUGCGUGGAGCCGACCUUGAAAUACCACCCUUUAAUGUUUGAUGUUCUAACGUGGACCCGUGAUCCGGGUUGCGGACAGUGUCUGGUGGGUAGUUUGACUGGGGCGGUCUCCUCCUAAAGAGUAACGGAGGAGCACGAAGGUUGGCUAAUCCUGGUCGGACAUCAGGAGGUUAGUGCAAUGGCAUAAGCCAGCUUGACUGCGAGCGUGACGGCGCGAGCAGGUGCGAAAGCAGGUCAUAGUGAUCCGGUGGUUCUGAAUGGAAGGGCCAUCGCUCAACGGAUAAAAGGUACUCCGGGGAUAACAGGCUGAUACCGCCCAAGAGUUCAUAUCGACGGCGGUGUUUGGCACCUCGAUGUCGGCUCAUCACAUCCUGGGGCUGAAGUAGGUCCCAAGGGUAUGGCUGUUCGCCAUUUAAAGUGGUACGCGAGCUGGGUUUAGAACGUCGUGAGACAGUUCGGUCCCUAUCUGCCGUGGGCGCUGGAGAACUGAGGGGGGCUGCUCCUAGUACGAGAGGACCGGAGUGGACGCAUCACUGGUGUUCGGGUUGUCAUGCCAAUGGCACUGCCCGGUAGCUAAAUGCGGAAGAGAUAAGUGCUGAAAGCAUCUAAGCACGAAACUUGCCCCGAG
Molecule: ribosomal RNA, 1458 nt
Filed under: Salmonella enterica
Lineage: Bacteria; Pseudomonadati; Pseudomonadota; Gammaproteobacteria; Enterobacterales; Enterobacteriaceae
Also listed under: 1 other name
Description: partial 23S ribosomal RNA
Rfam family: Bacterial large subunit ribosomal RNA
Source: RNAcentral